UUUUUUCUAGCAACAAGCAGCCGCACCUCCCCAAAAAUGGAAAACUCUCCAUCGUCUCUCUUCUCUCAAAUGAGAAACAACAGCCACUCUCUCAUCUCUCUUGAUCGGGCCAAUCAGCCGUUGCUCCAGCAACUCUCCUACAAUCAGCCGCCCACCCCUCUCUAAAGUUCCCUAUGAUCCUCUUUUUCACUUGAGAGAACAACCAACUAGCCUCUUCUCCCUCACUCUUUCAGAUUCUCCAUCCCAUCUUCACCCUCUUGCCUCCAGACCUACCCACCUGCCCCAAACCCGACAAAAAAUUGGCGAUCCCCUAUGAAUUUCUUAUCUCCCUCACUUGAGCAAAAAACACGCACACAUAGAGGAAGAAGGGAGGAACGGACAUAGGGGAAUUCUGAAAAAAGAAAAAUAAAGACAGGGGGAUUAGAAAAUGGACGGGGAGCACAGCGGACAGCGAGGAAACGGUGGGAAAAACGGAAACAGAGAAACAGAGGAUGACACUUUAAAAGAAAUUAGGAUAGAAAAAUCAAGGGGAAUCUGGGGUUUUUCGACGGAAAUUAAGAGAAUAGAAGUGAGUGUUGAGUAAUUCUUCUGCAAAUUUCCACCUUUCCUUUGAAGCUCGAAAUACUCAAAAAAAAAAGAUAUUUCUGUUUCUUCACUUUUCAAUUCUAAAUUUUGUUCAAGGAUGGACUUUGAUUAGAAUUUGUGUCUGAAUUCGUGUUUGGUUCGAGUUUUUCAGUGCCGAUUCGAGAUUCCGUCUGGGUUCGUGUUUGAGAGUUCUGUAGAUUUGAGUUCCAAUCGUAACUAUGUUCGAUUCCAGUCCGGGUAACUAUUAGACGUCUUCAUCAAUUGAAAAUUCUAGUUUUAAGGUUCAACUCUUUCUCUCUUACUUUCAUCUAAUGGUGUUGAUUUUUCAUUUUAGGACAUUUAGAUACUAGAAAUGAAUUUUGAAGUUGGUUUUCAGUCUUGAUUAUUCUGUACUGUUGAGUUUCCUCCAUUCUUUUUGACUUAAUGCAUGAAUCCAUAUCUUUGUUGCGUUUUUGCGCUUGAGAAAAUGCAUAGGCUUAAUGUCAAUUAAUAUUAAACUAUUCAAGUAACGUGCUAAAUUUAUCUACGUUUAUCACUGCCUGCGUACUUCAUUGAAUGAACGUGGGUCACGGGAGUAGGAAGAGGUUAAAUCCCA
This 1180-nucleotide long non-coding RNA is filed under the name Nicotiana tabacum (common tobacco). RNAcentral's name for it is "long non-coding RNA (NTAB_LNC015473)". The record is from RNAcentral. Lineage: Eukaryota; Viridiplantae; Streptophyta; Magnoliopsida; Solanales; Solanaceae.